RNAcentral lists this ribosomal RNA (122 nucleotides) under uncultured bacterium. Its description in RNAcentral is "partial 16S ribosomal RNA". It matches the Rfam family "Bacterial small subunit ribosomal RNA", at positions 1380 to 1500 of the family's 1533-position model. The record is from RNAcentral.
CUUGUACACACCGCCCGUCACACCAUGGGAGUCAGUAACGCCCGAAGUCAGUGACCCAACCAAUCAGGAGGGAGCUGCCGAAGGUGGGACCGAUAACUGGGGUGAAGUCGUAACAAGGUAUC